AAUACCAACUGAAAGCUCACAACUUUUGUCAUUACUCUCCCGGGUUUUAAACUUUUUCUUCUUUUUUCUUGAGGAACUCAAAUCUUCAAUAGGUUCAGAACUUUCUGAAUUAAUUUUCGUGCUAAUCCCAUCGAUAAGUGAUUGUGGCAAUUCUAGCUUUUGUUCUGAGGAUUCUGAGACUGGAGGCUUUUGAGACAGAUCUACUCCUGGCACAAUAUUUUCCACUAAGGAGCUACCAACUGAAAACUCACCUCUUUUGUCAUUCUCACAACUUUCAUCAUUACUCUCCCGGGUUUCUGACUUUUUCUUCUGUGUCUUUUUCUUCUUUUUUCUUGAGGAACUCAAAUCUUCAACAGGGUCAGAACUUUCCGAAUUGAUUUUUGCAUUAAUUCCUUCCAUAAUGGGUUGUAGCAAUUCUAGCUUUUGCUCUGAGGAUUCUGAGACUGGAGGCUGUUGAGAUGGAUCUACUCCUGGCAUAAUACUUUCCACUAAGGAAAUACCAACAGAAAGCUCACAACCUUUGUCAUUACCCUCCCUGGUUUCAGAAUUCUUCUUCUGAUUCUUUUUCUUCUUUUUUCUUGAGGAACUCAAAUCUUCAAUAGGUUCAGAACUUUCUGAAUUAAUCUUUGCGCUAAUUCCUUCCAUAAGGGGCUGUGGCAAUUCUAGCUUUUGUUUCGAGGAUUCUGAGACUGGAGGUUGUUGAGGUGGAUGUACUCUUGGCAUAAUAUUUUCCACUAAAGAAACACCAACUGAAAGCUCACAACUUUUGUCAUUACCACAACUUUCGUCAUUACUCUCCCGGGUUUCAGACUUCUUCCGAGUCCUUUUCUUCUUUUUUCUUGAGGAACUCAAAUCUUCAAUAGGUUCAGAACUUUCUGAAUUAAUUUUCGUGCUCAUUCCUUCCAUAAGUGGCUGUGGCAAUUCUAGCUUUUGUUUUGAGGAUUCAGAGACUGGAGGUUGUUGAGGCAGAUCUCUUCCUGGCAUAAUAUUUUCCACUAAAGAAAUACCAACUGAAAGCUCACAACUUUUGUCAUUACCACAACUUUCAUCAUUACUCUCCCGGGUUUCAGACUUCUUCUGAGUCUUUUUCUUCUUUUUUCUUGAGGAACUCAAAUCUUGAAUAGGUUCAGAACUUUCUGAAUUAAUUUUCGUGUUCAUUCUUUCCGUAAGUGGCUGUGGCAAUUCUAGCUUUUGUUCCGAG
RNAcentral lists this long non-coding RNA (1201 nucleotides) under Malus domestica (apple). RNAcentral's name for it is "long non-coding RNA (MDOM_LNC014358)". The record is from RNAcentral. Lineage: Eukaryota; Viridiplantae; Streptophyta; Magnoliopsida; Rosales; Rosaceae.